Molecule: long non-coding RNA, 209 nt
Filed under: Elaeis guineensis (African oil palm)
Lineage: Eukaryota; Viridiplantae; Streptophyta; Magnoliopsida; Arecales; Arecaceae
Description: long non-coding RNA (EGUI_LNC003880)
Source: RNAcentral
UCGACCUCUACCCAGCUGUUGUCAUUAGGGCCAGUACGAGGAUCGCCCCAACAAGAAAGAAAACCCCAAAAAAGUGAAGAAGAAGUAAAGAAAAAUUGAUUCUUCCAUCCAUGAAUGGACGAUGGAAGACCAGUGAUAAAGAAAAGAUCUUUUCGGGGGUUGAAGAACCACCACCCUCGGGCCUUCGAAUGAGGUCGGAGGAUAAAGAA